AACUCUACAACAAAGCUGAUACAGUGAGCAGAGAGUGUGUGUGUGUGUGUGUGUGUGUGUGUGUGUGUGUGCAGUGACACUCCGGUAUAUAGAACGUCCUUAAAUUCAGGGAGACAACUGGGGCAGCAGAACCUUGGACAUACAGUCGGUCAUGGAGUUUGUCUGGGAUUUAACAGUUUGUAUGUGGCGGGGGACAUUUUCACACCAGAUCCACACUGAUGCAUUAAUGCAGCAUCCAGCGACCUGCUGGGAAGUUUAUCUUCUCCACUAGCAGCUCCUGCUUCCAUGCUCUCAUUAAACGGUGCUGACGCAGGCCACCCCAGGGCAUUGAUUAUAUUUCUGUAGACGUAAGAAGAGUGAGGGACAGCACGUGGGUGGAGGAGAGGAACGGUUCAAUAAGGCCGAGGGCAGAGCGGUGAUGGGGUUUCCCCUUUGAAAACUGGAAGACACCACGCAGGUGCACCAUCAGCAUCCUCCAUCAAAGAGCGGCGUCUGAAGGGGCCUUGUGGCACUCUUAAACCACGCGCUCUGACUCAUGUUUCCUAUUCUACUCUAUACUAUAAAACACCUAUAUACAAAGAA
Stegastes partitus (bicolor damselfish) is the source of this 582-nucleotide long non-coding RNA. RefSeq lists it as uncharacterized. NCBI's taxonomy places the organism in Eukaryota, Metazoa, Chordata, Actinopteri, Pomacentridae. The transcript has 2 exons. The record is from RefSeq and is a predicted model, not a curated record.